Molecule: long non-coding RNA, 748 nt
Organism: Priapulus caudatus
Lineage: Eukaryota; Metazoa; Priapulida; Priapulimorpha; Priapulimorphida; Priapulidae
Exons: 3
Source: RefSeq, a predicted model, not a curated record
GCCAUUCUCACCGAUUCCAGGGGAGUUCCAUGUCCCCUCUCUUAUAUUAAAACUGGUGUGUCUAACUAGCACCUCGACUCGUUCUCUUACGACUAUAUGCGUUGAGUCGUCAUGGCUUUUAUAUCAGCCAAUGUUGCCUUCUACGGCAAGAAAAUGCGUAUACACCUGGCGCAUUCUUAAAGUUCUACACAGAUUGGUACUAUUCUACGUAUUCACGUACGAAUUAAUUCGGGCAUUGUACGACACAGUUUAUGAAACUCGUUAAGCCAGGGGGUGGUGGUGGGGUGGUGGUGGUAGGUUAUAGGUAGGAAAAGUGCUUUAAUUAGUAUUUUGCUAACACACUCGUGUAUUAUAAAACAUGUGGUUUGAAAACUAGUUUUCAGUUUAAUUACGAAAAUUGAAAAAUAGCCGCCGACACUAGAUUGCUUCACUCACCCGUAAUACGUAUUGCAAUGUCGUUCAUCCAUUGCGCUCUUUCUUGCUUGGUCAACCAGCGGUAGACUCCUUAUGCAGCUGAUAUCUCGGGUGCUGUCUCGGCUGCUGUUCCUUGCUUUGUCGUGAAUGUAAUGUGCUGUUCCUCGAUCGUGUCGUCGUGAUCGUAUUCUGCUCUUCUUCCAUCGCAUCGUCGAUAUCCAGGUCGUACUAGAUAAGUUCUGGCUUAUAUGUGUUUUAGCGGCAACAUAAUUGUUCGUAGGCAUUUUCACACACAAUGCUCGUCUAGCGAAAACGGCAACACUUCAUUCCCACG